CAGUGAAAUUGAACUCGCUGUGAAGAUGCAGUGUACCCGCGGCAAGACGGAAAGACCCCGUGAACCUUUACUAUAGCUUGACACUGAACAUUGAGCCUUGAUGUGUAGGAUAGGUGGGAGGCUUUGAAGCGUGGACGCCAGUCUGCGUGGAGCCGACCUUGAAAUACCACCCUUUAAUGUUUGAUGUUCUAACGUUGGCCCCUUACCGGGGUUGCGGACAGUGUCUGGUGGGUAGUUUGACUGGGGCGGUCUCCUCCCAAAGCGUAACGGAGGAGCACGAAGGUUAGCUAAUCCUGGUCGGACAUCAGGAGGUUAGUGCAAUGGCAUAAGCUAGCUUGACUGCGAGCGUGACGGCGCGAG
This 360-nucleotide ribosomal RNA is filed under the name Klebsiella quasipneumoniae subsp. similipneumoniae. Its description in RNAcentral is "partial 23S ribosomal RNA". It matches the Rfam family "Bacterial large subunit ribosomal RNA", at positions 2034 to 2393 of the family's 2925-position model. Lineage: Bacteria; Pseudomonadati; Pseudomonadota; Gammaproteobacteria; Enterobacterales; Enterobacteriaceae. The record is from RNAcentral.